GGAUCUGUCGCGGCUGGCGGAGCUCCCUCAGCCCACUCGAACGACUUUGUUCCAGAGGCUCCAAGAAACUCUGAGGGACAGAGCAAGUCUCUCUGAGCUGGAGUAUAAGCUGGAGGAGCGGCGACGAGGUGAGGUGCCCGUCAGUCAGGACAUCGCAGUGUCAGCCAUACUGGACCUGCUCAGCCCCGGCCCAAACAAUCACAUUGAGAACGGCGGGCCUGACACAUCUGCCGACCUGAUCGCAGUUCACCUGCUGGUCAGCGCCAUGGAAGCAUUUCCCGAUGAGGCUCUGAGUCUCGUGAGUGAGUGCAGUCCUUCUUUUCUGGAGGCCUUGAACACACUG
This 343-nucleotide long non-coding RNA is filed under the name Myripristis murdjan (pinecone soldierfish). Its description in RNAcentral is "lncRNA (ENSMMDG00005002425.1)". The record is from RNAcentral. Lineage: Eukaryota; Metazoa; Chordata; Actinopteri; Holocentriformes; Holocentridae.